RNAcentral lists this ribosomal RNA (374 nucleotides) under uncultured bacterium. RNAcentral's name for it is "bacterial SSU rRNA". It matches the Rfam family "Bacterial small subunit ribosomal RNA", at positions 524 to 898 of the family's 1533-position model. The record is from RNAcentral.
UACGUAGGGUGCGAGCGUUAAUCGGAAUUACUGGGCGUAAAGAGUGCGUAGGCGGUUCGUUAAGUCAGCUGUGAAAGCCCCGGGCUCAACCUGGGAACUGCGGUUGAAACUGGCGAACUAGAAUCUGGCAGAGGGGGGUGGAAUUCCACGUGUAGCAGUGAAAUGCGUAGAGAUGUGGAGGAACACCGAUGGCGAAGGCAGCCCCCUGGGCUGAGAUUGACGCUCAGGCACGAAAGCGUGGGGAGCAAACAGGAUUAGAUACCCUGGUAGUCCACGCCCUAAACGAUGUCAACUAGGUGUUGGAGGAGCAAUCCUUUGGUACCGCAGCUAACGCGUGAAGUUGACCGCCUGGGGAGUACGGUCGCAAGAUUAAA